CCUACGGGUGGCAGCAGUGAGGAAUAUUGGUCAAUGGGCGCGAGCCUGAACCAGCCAAGUCGCGUGAAGGAUGACUGCCCUACGGGUUGUAAGCAUCUUUUAUCAAGGGAUAAAGUGAGGCACUUGUGCCUUUUUGUAUGUACUUUAUGAAUAAGGAUCGGCUAACUCCGUGCCGGCAGCCGCGGUAAUACGGAGGAUCCGAGCGUUAUCCGGAUUUAUUGGGUUUAACGGGAGCGUAGAUGGGUUGUUAAGUCAGUUGUGAAAGUUUGCGGCUCAACCGUAAAAUUGCAAUUGAUACUGGCAGUCUUGAGUACAGUUGAGGUAGGUGGAAUUCGAGGUGUAGCGGUGAAAUGCGUAGAGAUCACGAAGAACUCCGAUUGCGAAGGCAGCUUACUAAACUGCCACUGACAUUGAUGCGCGAAAGUGUGGGUAUCAAACAGGAUUAGAUACCCCUGUAGUC
Molecule: ribosomal RNA, 460 nt
Filed under: uncultured bacterium
Lineage: Bacteria
Description: partial 16S ribosomal RNA
Rfam family: Bacterial small subunit ribosomal RNA
Source: RNAcentral